UGAUUCCCCUAGUAACUGCGAGUGAAGAGGGACAAGCUCAAAUUUUAAAUCUGUCGGGUUCACCUGACCGAGUUGUAAUUUGAAGAGACGUUUUCUGCGUUUUUGGUCAGUCCAAGUCCUUUGGGAUAGGGCAUCAUGGAGGGUGAGAAUCCCGUUCGGUUGACCAGAUUCGCUUUAUGAUACGUUUUCGAAGAGUCAAGUUGUUUGGGAUUGCAGCUUAAAAUGGGAGGUAAAUUUCUCCUAGGCUAA
RNAcentral lists this ribosomal RNA (249 nucleotides) under uncultured Glomus. RNAcentral's name for it is "partial large subunit ribosomal RNA". It matches the Rfam family "Eukaryotic large subunit ribosomal RNA", at positions 72 to 319 of the family's 3401-position model. The record is from RNAcentral. Lineage: Eukaryota; Fungi; Glomeromycota; Glomeromycetes; Glomerales; Glomeraceae.